Molecule: long non-coding RNA, 620 nt
Filed under: Homo sapiens (human)
Lineage: Eukaryota; Metazoa; Chordata; Mammalia; Primates; Hominidae
Description: HSALNT0404738
Source: RNAcentral
UUCCUGCGGCUUUUGGUCCCUCCCGCUUGCAGUCCCUCUGGUUCUGCCCACUCCGCCUCCCGGUUGUCAGGGCAACCGUAGCGACGCCGGACCUGGCUGAGAGGCGUUAGGAGCCCCGGCGUUCGCCCGCGGAGGCCGGGGAGCAGCCGACCAUGGAGCCCCAGAACCGAACAGAACCCAAACUCCUUCCCUUGCUUACAAGCCUACAUGAUCUAGCCUUUGUUCGCCUUGAUGAUGUCUCUACUACCCUCACCUAGUAGGCUACUAUGCUCCAAGUAAAAUGACAUGCUGUCUGUUCAUGAAUCAUGCCAAGUCCACUCCUCAAGGAGCUUGGUCAAUGUGUUCUGGACAAAGCAGGAAGAUGUGACUGAAAUCCUGAAAGGAGCCGGCUCCUGCAGCACAAGAAUAAUGAUACAUCUGGGUACAUUUCUCUUCACAGCAUUUGAUAGUGGCUCCAAAGUGCUUACAAAAUGCACAUCGCUGAAAGGGGUAAAGGAGAGAAAUCUCUUUAUAAAACCUUGAAAAGGAAUAUUCAAAUAUAAACUGGGAAGGUAUAAAAAACUCUCUGUACAUCACAAGUAAACAAAUUGAACCUGCAAAAUAUUAAACAAAGGAUUCGU